This is a small nucleolar RNA of Erinaceus europaeus (western European hedgehog), 118 nucleotides long. The record is from Ensembl. NCBI's taxonomy places the organism in Eukaryota, Metazoa, Chordata, Mammalia, Eulipotyphla, Erinaceidae.
UGCCACCCUUUUGAAGCAGUAACUGCUUCACCUAGCUGCUGUCAUCAGAAAGGACAUUUUUCCUUGAUGGUUACUGUUCUGUUUGCUAUAAUCUGUAAUAGUGCAGGAGCAGACAAUU